Molecule: ribosomal RNA, 644 nt
Filed under: Merluccius capensis (shallow-water Cape hake)
Lineage: Eukaryota; Metazoa; Chordata; Actinopteri; Gadiformes; Merlucciidae
Description: partial 12S ribosomal RNA
Rfam family: Bacterial small subunit ribosomal RNA
Source: RNAcentral
CGGCGUAAAGCGUGGUUAAAAAUUGUUAAAACUAGAGCCGAAUAACCUCAAAGCAGUUAUACGCAUUCGAGACCACGAAGCACAAUUACGAAAGUAGCUCUACCCCACUUUGACUCCACGAAAACCAUAAAACAAACUGGGAUUAGAUACCCCACUAUGUAUGGCUGUUAACAUCGAGGGCCCGAUACUCAGACCCUCCGCCUGGGGACUACGAGCAUUAGCUUAAAACCCAAAGGACUUGGCGGUGCUUUACCCCCCACUAGAGGAGCCUGUUCUAGAACUGAUAACCCCCGUUGAACCUCACCAUCCCUCGUUUAACCCGCCUAUAUACCGCCGUCGUCAGCUUACCCUGUGAAGGCCAAAUAGUAAGCAAAAAUGGCUAAGCCAAAAACGUCAGGUCGAGGUGUAGUGAAUGGGAUGGGAAGAAAUGGGCUACAUUCUCUGCCACAGAGAAUACGAAUGGCAGCCUGAAAACCCUGCCUGAAGGUGGAUUUAGCAGUAAGGAAGGAAUAGAGUGCCUCCCUGAAAACGGCCCUGAAGCGCGCACACACCGCCCGUCACUCUCCCCAAAUAAUUAUAGAUAUUACCUAAAAUGUUUUACCAACCAAGGGGAGGCAAGUCGUAACAUGGUAAGCGUACCGGAA